UUGUCAAUGCAAAGAUGACAAGAGGGACUCCGGUUAAUCAACAUGGUCUCAAGAUGAUAGAUAACUUUUUGCCAAUCUUAAGCAAUGAUAUUAUCUUAAGACCAUGCUGAUUAACUGGAGCCACUCUUGUCAUCUUUGUAUUGACAA
This 147-nucleotide microRNA precursor is filed under the name Prunus dulcis (almond). RNAcentral's name for it is "sRNA ncRNA". Lineage: Eukaryota; Viridiplantae; Streptophyta; Magnoliopsida; Rosales; Rosaceae. The record is from RNAcentral.